This 442-nucleotide ribosomal RNA is filed under the name Toxoplasma gondii. RNAcentral's name for it is "SSU rRNA". It matches the Rfam family "Eukaryotic small subunit ribosomal RNA", at positions 625 to 1072 of the family's 1831-position model. Lineage: Eukaryota; Apicomplexa; Conoidasida; Eucoccidiorida; Sarcocystidae. The record is from RNAcentral.
UAGCUCGUAGUUGGAUUUCUGCUGGAAGCAGCCAGUCCGCCCUCAGGGGUGUGCACUUGGUGAAUUCUAGCAUCCUUCUGGAUUUCUCCACACUUCAUUGUGUGGAGUUUUUUCCAGGACUUUUACUUUGAGAAAAUUAGAGUGUUUCAAGCAGGCUUGUCGCCUUGAAUACUGCAGCAUGGAAUAAUAGGAUAGGAUUUCGGCCCUAUUUUGUUGGUUUCUAGGACUGAAGUAAUGAUUAAUAGGGACGGUUGGGGGCAUUCGUAUUUAACUGUCAGAGGUGAAAUUCUUAGAUUUGUUAAAGACGAACUACUGCGAAAGCAUUUGCCAAAGAUGUUUUCAUUAAUCAAGAACGAAAGUUAGGGGCUCGAAGACGAUCAGAUACCGUCGUAGUCUUAACCAUAAACUAUGCCGACUAGAGAUAGGAAAACGUCAUGCUUGA